RNAcentral lists this long non-coding RNA (2873 nucleotides) under Daphnia pulex (common water flea). RNAcentral's name for it is "uncharacterized LOC124193898, transcript variant X2". The record is from RNAcentral. Lineage: Eukaryota; Metazoa; Arthropoda; Branchiopoda; Diplostraca; Daphniidae.
AGCAGUGCUCUAUUUGUCACCAACUGCCUUCUUCAUCGUAUUAUCAGUUCGCAAUCAUGGUUAAUGAUGGCGUCGUGGUGCUGUUGGGUGUUUUAUCGUUGAUGGCUGAGUUGACCACUUGUGUACCCAUGUCUCCUGGGUAUGGCGGAUACCAAACAACAACGCCACCGUCUUACUAUACAACAACAACAUAAGCAACAACCGGUUACAACACCACCAAGGCUCAAGAGUAUUACACCACGACUUAUGCUGCUCUGAAGUAUAACUCUGCCACGAGCUACAUCACCAAAAAGCUGGAGUACUACACCGAGGACCCUAAUUACUACAACACUUAAGCGCAACUACACUACAACCUCCGCUGCACCGAGCUACUACACCGACGCCCAAAAGUAUUACUCUGCGUAAAAGGAGUCGUCUAAAAAAAUAGAAGUCGUAUAAAAGGAGAGAGAAAAAGCGAUCAGUCGUGUGAUCGUCUCCGACACGGAAAUAACUGCUGUGCACUAUCUGUCACCAACUUCCUUCUUCACCGUAUUACCAGUUUGCAAUCAUUGUUAUCCGUAGUUAUCUAUGGCGUCGUGGUGCUGUUGGGUGUUCGUUGGUGUAUCGUUGAUGGCUGAGUUGUCCACUUGUGUAAUGAUGUCUCCUUGCUAUGGCGGAUACCAAACCGCAACGCCGCCGCCUAACUACACAAUAACAAGACACGCAACAUCUGGUUACUACACCACCAAGGUUCCAGAUUAUUGCACCAAAACUUAUGAUGCCCCGAGCUACUACACCGAGCGCCGAAGUAUAACUUUGCCUCGAGCUACAUUACCAAAGAGCCGGAGUACUACACCGAUGCUUCCAAGUCCCUAAUUACUACAGCACCGAAGCGCCUAAGUACUACUACUCUGCCCCGACCUACUAAACCGACUCCCCGAAGUUAUUAUCUGCGUAAAAGAAGUCGUAUAAAAUGAGAGAGAAAAUACGGUAGAAAUCAGUCAAGUGUGGAUCUCCGACACGACAACAAAUGCAUUGUACUAUCUUUCACCAACUGCAUUCCUUAACGUGUAUAACCAAUUCGCAAUCAUGGUUAACUAUGGCGUUGUGCUGCUGUUGAAUCGUUGGUGACUGGGUCGAUCAUGGGUGUGCUGAUUUUCCUGGAUAUGGUGGAUUUCAAACAACAGCAGCGAAAGAAUAGUACACCACGUUGCCGCCUUAAUACACAACGUCAACAUACGCAACACCUACUUACUACACUGAGUCUCCUAAGUACUACACCACCAAGGCUCCAGAGUACUACACGAAACCUUACGCUACCUUAAGCUACCACACCGAAGUAUUACUCUGCCCCGAGUUACAUCACCGAAGCGCCUGAGUAUUAUACUGAUGCUCCCACGUAUUACACUACAACCUACGCUGCUCUAGCUUACUAUACUGAUGCUCCGAAGUACUAUUCUGAUCAUAGCCACUACACCGAAGCUCCAGCUUAUUACACCACCAAAGCGGUCGAGUACGACACCGAAGCGUCCAAGUACACUGCAACCUACUGCAGCGCACUGUUUGUCAUCAACUGUCUUCUUCAUCGUAUGAAAUCAGUUCGCAAUCAUGGUUAACUAUGGCGUUGUUGGCGCUGUUUGGUAUUGUAUCAUUGAUGGCUGCGUUGUCCACGAGUGUACCGACGUCCCCUGGGUAUCGUGGAUAGUAAACCUCAACACCCUCGCCUUACUACACAACAACAACAUGCGCAACAACCGGUUACUACACCACCAAGGCUCCAGUGUAUUGAAGCAAAACUUAUGAUGCCCCGAGCUACUACACAGAGCCCCAAAGUAUAAGUCUGCCCUGAGUCAUUUUAUCAAAGAGUCGGAGUACUACACCAAAGCGCCCAAGUACUUCACUACAACCUACGCUGCUCCGAGCUUCUACACCGAAGCCCUGAAUUAUUACACUGCGUUAAAGGAGUCGUCUAAAAAAGUCGUAUAAAAGUAGAGAAAAGGAGGUAGAAAUCAGUCGAGUGAGGAUCUCCGACACGGCAACAACUGCAAUGGAUUACUUGUCACCAACUGGAUUGUUAAUCGUAUAACCAGUCCGCAAUCAUGGUAAACUAUAGCGUCGUGCUGCUGUUGGGUGUUGAUUGUUGAAUCAUUGAUGACUGGGUCGACCGCUGGUGUACCGAUGUCUCCUUGGCAUAGCGGAUACCAAAACUCAAUGCCUCUGCAGGGUACUAGUACACAACAACAACAACUUACGCAACGACUAGUUACUAGACAGAGGGCCCUAAGUACUACACCACUAAGGCACCGGAGUAUUAUACCACAAAUUACGCUGCCCUGAGCUACUACAUUGACGCCCUUAAGUAUUACUCUUCCCCGAACUACACCACCCCUUAGUACCCGAUUACUACACAACUUCGUAUGCUGCGCUGUCCCAUCCUACUACACAGAGGCUCCCAAGUACUACUCUGUUCUCAUCUGCUUACUACACCACUAAGGCACCGGAGUAUUAUACCACAAAUUACGCUGCCCCGAGCUACACCAACCUUAGCACCGGAGUACAACACGACUUCGUAUGCUGCGCUGUCCCAUCCUACUACACCGAGGCUCCCAAGUACUACUCGGUUAUCAGCUGCUUACUACACCAAUCCUAAGUACUACUUUGUUCCCAGCUACAACAUUGAAGCUCCAACUUAUUACACCACUGAAGUGGUCAACUACUACACCAAAGCGCCAAGUACUACACUGCAACCUACGCUGCCCCAGGUUACACCACGAAGGCACCGGAAUACUACAUCAUAACGUGCCUCAGCCUAAUACACCCGAUCUACACAACCACAUCUGAGGCGUCAAAGUAUUACUACACAGCGCCUUCAAUUUUAUAGUAAGGUGACAGCA